Panicum virgatum (switchgrass) is the source of this 408-nucleotide long non-coding RNA. RefSeq lists it as uncharacterized. NCBI's taxonomy places the organism in Eukaryota, Viridiplantae, Streptophyta, Magnoliopsida, Poales, Poaceae. The transcript is spliced from 2 exons. The record is from RefSeq and is a predicted model, not a curated record.
AAUACUGUUACAUAUAUUCAGGUGAUCUAUCUCAUUGCUCGUGCAUUUGAUGCAAUGACCCAAUGUAGAUACAGUGAUGUCUCUGCUCAACACCGCCACGACCGGAGCACGCAGUUGCUCAACAUGCAAGAAGAGGCCAGCAGCCAUGUCUCUGCUCGCCGACGUAGCGAUCCCGUGCCCGAGCAGUUCGAGAAGAGGGUGUGCAUGGAUAAGCUCGUGUUCGUCUUCGGCUACUGCAAGCCUGCAAGUGCGGGAGUUACAAGGUUCCUCCGUUGGGCUUGGGUCCAGAAGGGAACGAGUGCUGAAUUUUGUAGUUCUUCAGGAGAUUUCACCUAAGCAGGAAUAGUUUCCGUCUCAAGUCUCAACAUUGAGAUCAAUGCGAAGGUUAUGUUGAAAUAUUGGGGGAGG